Rhinichthys klamathensis goyatoka is the source of this 271-nucleotide long non-coding RNA. RefSeq lists it as uncharacterized. The record is from RefSeq and is a predicted model, not a curated record. NCBI's taxonomy places the organism in Eukaryota, Metazoa, Chordata, Actinopteri, Cypriniformes, Leuciscidae. The transcript has 3 exons.
AUGACCAUAAUGAAUAUCAGAAUACAGAAAUAUGAAAAGGAGCUGCAGGUACUGAGAGGAGAGAACAGGAAGAACAUGAUGCUGUCCGUCGCUCUGUUAGCCAUCAGUGCUCUUUUCUACUACACAUUCAUAUAUUAAAGAGCUGUAGUUAAACUUACACCAGCUGCUCAUCUACAUGAAGUCUUUGAUAUUGAGGUCAGCGAGAGGAUCUUUAGAAGGUGGAGGCUUUCUGGGACUCUGGGCCAUUCCCGGAGACAUCUGUGGGGGAAAC